AAUUGAAGAGUUUGAUCAUGGCUCAGAUUGAACGCUGGCGGCAGGCCUAACACAUGCAAGUCGAAC
This 66-nucleotide ribosomal RNA is filed under the name Cronobacter sakazakii E899. RNAcentral describes it as "partial 16S ribosomal RNA". The record is from RNAcentral. Lineage: Bacteria; Pseudomonadati; Pseudomonadota; Gammaproteobacteria; Enterobacterales; Enterobacteriaceae.